This 253-nucleotide ribosomal RNA is filed under the name Gemmiger formicilis. Its description in RNAcentral is "partial 16S ribosomal RNA". It matches the Rfam family "Bacterial small subunit ribosomal RNA", at positions 524 to 776 of the family's 1533-position model. Lineage: Bacteria; Bacillati; Bacillota; Clostridia; Eubacteriales; Oscillospiraceae. The record is from RNAcentral.
AACGUAGGGUGCAAGCGUUGUCCGGAAUUACUGGGUGCAAAGGGAGCGCAGGCGGACCGGCAAGUUGGAAGUGAAAACUAUGGGCUCAACCCAUAAAUUGCUUUCAAAACUGCUGGCCUUGAGUAGUGCAGAGGUAGGUGGAAUUCCCGGUGUAGCGGUGGAAUGCGUAGAUAUCGGGAGGAACACCAGUGGCGAAGGCGACCUACUGGGCACCAACUGACGCUGAGGCUCGAAAGCAUGGGUAGCAAACAGG